Molecule: ribosomal RNA, 438 nt
Filed under: Dirofilaria repens
Lineage: Eukaryota; Metazoa; Nematoda; Chromadorea; Rhabditida; Onchocercidae
Description: partial 12S ribosomal RNA
Source: RNAcentral
GUUGUUAUAUUACUUUUUUUUAUUCUUUUUUAUGUUUUUUUUUGUAAAAUGUUUUGAUUUUUUUGUAUUUUUUUGUAAUAUUUAAAAUUUGUUUUUUGAACUGGAUUAGUACCCAGGUAAUCAAAGUUUAUUAAUUCGGGAGUAAAGUUUUGUUUAAACCGAAAAAAUAUUGACUGACUUUAGAUUUUUCUUUGGAAUAUGUGUUUUUGGAGAGCCCUCUUUUUUGGUGAAUUUUAUUGGCACAUGUAUGAUUGUUUAGUUUUUAUGUUAUUUGUGUUGCUUUUUUGUUUUUUUGCAUUUAAAACAGAUAUAUAUUUGGCUUAUAAAUUUAUUUUUCAUGUAUUACUAUUAUUAAUUUUUUUUGGAUUUAUUUUUUAUUUUAUUUUUGAAAUUGGAAAAGAAAGUAAUUUUUUCUUUAUGUGUUAAUGAAUUUAAUAA